Molecule: unclassified non-coding RNA, 343 nt
Filed under: Hevea brasiliensis (rubber tree)
Lineage: Eukaryota; Viridiplantae; Streptophyta; Magnoliopsida; Malpighiales; Euphorbiaceae
Source: RNAcentral
GUAGCGGUAAAAGUGUAGCUUCUAAAUAUUUAGAAGUUGACCAGAAUGCAUUGAGAAAGGCAUUUCUUCAAUUUGUGAAGACUAUCAAUGAAAACGCGAAUCAAAAAAAAGAAUUAUUUGGAGGAUGGGAAACAUGGGCGUCUUCAAUGUCUUGCUUGUGCAAGGUCCUCUAGAGAUUUUCCAGAUAUGCAUGGCCUUAUUAUGCACACAUACAACUCUGAGAGUGCUGACUCGCAAGUGGAUCAUUUGGGUUUACAUAAAGCUCUCUGUGUAUUAAUGGGGUGGAACUACUCAAAGCCUCCUGAUAAUUCAAGAGGGUACCAGUUUCUAUCUGCUGACGAAG